Long non-coding RNA from Octopus sinensis (East Asian common octopus), 174 nucleotides. RefSeq lists it as uncharacterized. NCBI's taxonomy places the organism in Eukaryota, Metazoa, Mollusca, Cephalopoda, Octopoda, Octopodidae. The transcript is spliced from 3 exons. The record is from RefSeq and is a predicted model, not a curated record.
GGCCUUGUCACGUUCUUUGUCAUGCUGAAUCUCUAAGAACUACAUUAAGGGUACGUAUGUCUGUGGAGUACUCAGCCACUUAUACGUUAACUUCAUGAGCAAGCUAUUCCAUCCAUCAUAUCAGUUGAAACGCUCGGCGUAACCGACGGAGUGCCAGUAUAUACAAGGUAGAAA